AAUUUCAACUUUUUGUAUUUUGAACUAUUAAAAGAUCUAGACUCUCCACAGCAGUGGUUCCAAAACUUGAACAGUUUAUUUUGGUAUGUUAAAACUAUGGAAAAAUAUUAAGCGAUCAUGCUGAUAGAUUGAUUUAAUUAUGUUGUGGUCACUACGCACAUCGGCUUGCUACAGUUUUCGGUGGCCUACCCAUUUCCUAGCACCAGUCACGGGUCCACAGAUUGGGUCGUGAUAAAGUUGGUAUAAGAACCUAGAUUUACAUUUUCUUCGACCUAGCCUUUGCUAUGCCGAGGACUCCAGCGAUUGGAGCAGCAGCAGCUGCCCAAGAGGCCCAAGAUGUGGUUUCCACUCAAUCAGCUCCAUCAGCGCCAACCCGUGAUACCAGGAGGCGAGGUAGGCCUCGAGCAGCAUCCCAACCAGAUCAAGUAAGGCUUAGGAGGCAUACGAUGCUGGUGGAGUCCCAGUUGAAGCAUUUGUAGCCGAUAUGACUAGGAUGCAAAAGGCUUUAGUGUAGUUUUUGGGCUUUUUAGCAGCAGCAAGCUGCCUGGGGUUUAGGGAGCCACAGUAGUAGGUCCGGUAUCAGGAAUCCGGACGAGGUCCUCAUGUCUGAGUAUACUAAGUUGAGGCUUAUGGAGUUUGAUGGGGUAUCUGGGGACCUUUUGGACUUCCUAGACGAGGUUAAGAAGAGGGCAUCGAAUUUGCACUAUUCAGAUAAGAGGACUAUCGAGAUUGCAGGUUUUUCUCUGAAGGGGGUAGCAUCUUAGUGGUUCAGGAUUUUUAUUUAUCCCUUUUUGGAUGGUUUGUCAUGGAGACAGUUUAGGGGCAAGUUCGAGGAGUACUUCAUCCUUUUCAGUGUAAGGCAGGAGUAUAGAUAGAGGUUCGAGAGGCUAGUUAAGGGAGACCUGUCAGCGGCAGAGUAUACUAGGCAAUUUGUGCAGCUGAGUAGGUGUGCGUCCUAUGCUGUGAGAACUGAGGAGCAGAAGAACAACAAGUAUAUUUCGAGACUUGGUCCAGAGUUUGUCUCUUUAGUUCAGUCUAGGAGGAGCAGUUUCUUAAAGGUGACUGAUAUGACCAGGCAGAUAGAGAUGAACCUGCAGGGAUUUGGCUAGGGGACUAAUGAUGGUAAGAAAAAGAAGAUCAAGAUUGAGGGUCGGGAUAGUGCGCAGCCAGUUGUGCCGUUUUACAGCAGUGGAGGCUACUCCGGGGGUUUCGACCAGCAGGCCGAGCAAAGAGGCUACCGUAUUCACAAGAAGGAUAGACACAAUCGGAAGGGUAGUAGAGGAUUCAGACCAGGGCAGGGCUUCAGUGGUAGUGGGUAGAGUUUUGGCUACAACAGCUCUAGUUCUAGAGCCAACACGUGUCAGAUGUGCGGCAGGUCAAUCAAGGACCCUGCCUAGUCUCCAGUGGAGCCUGUUUCAAGUGUGGCGAGAUGGGUCAUAUGCCUUGAGCAUGUACUUGCUACUUCAGUCAACCAGCUUCACCUUAGGGCUUGUCUGCUAGUGCGACCCGACCAGCUUUUUCUACAGCUCUUGGAUAUUCUCAGGGUGGAUCUCAGUUUGUCGGCCAGUAGGGUCGUAGCUAUAGAGGUAGGCCUAUGGGAGGCCGAUCAUGGGGCAGAGUUCAAAAUCAGGCUUCAGGCUCUCAGUAGUUAGGCUAUAGGCAGGCGAGAGUGUUCACUCUGACCCAUCAGGUUGCGCGAGCCUCUAAUGUUGUGGUGUCAAGUAUUAUUCCUGUUUGUUAUUCUAAGGCUAGAGUUUUGUUAGACCCUGGGGUUACCCAUUCCUUUGUAUCGCCUAGUUUUGCCUUAAGGUUGGAUGUUCAACCGGUUGGACUUCAGGUUCCUAUGUCGGUCACAACGUCGUUAAAUGACGCCUUAGAGAUCGAUGUUGUGUUUCCAUCAUCUUCGGUGUCAGUUAAAGUUCGGGAUUUGAUUGCCAAUUUAAUUCUGUUGGAUGUAAUGGAUUUUGAUAUAAUUUUAAGAAUGGAUUGGUUGGCUAUGCAUUAUUCCAUAUUGGACUGCCGAAAAAAGCAAGUAACUUUUCGAAUUUCGAGAGACUCGGAGUUUCAUUUUAAAGGCGGGCAGGUACCUACUCUAUCGAAUCUCGUGUCAGCCAUUACGGCUAGAUGGAUGCUUCACUGUGGGUGUCAAGAUAUCUGGCAUUAGUCAGGGAUACCUCUGCAGAAAAAAGUAGAAUUGAGGACGUUCAGGUGGUCUGCGAGUUUUUCGAUGUAUUUCCAGAAGAGCUACCGGGAUUGUCGUGUGAUAGAGAGAUAGAAUUCUGCAUCAAUAUGGUACCGGGUAUGGCACUUAUGUCUUUGCCACCCCACCGAAUGGCACCAGCCUAGUUAAAGGAGCAGUUGCACGACUUCCUGAAUAAGAGUUUUAUCAGACCCAGUACGUCUCUGUGGGAUGCUCCUGUUUUGUUCGUGAAAAAGGAUGGUACCUUGUGCCUCUGUAUUGACUACCGGUAGUUGAAUAAAGCGACGAUUCGUAAUAAGUAUCUGCUUUCUCGCAUCGAUGAUCUAUUCGAUCAGCUUCAAGGAGCUGCAUACUACUCCAAGAUUGAUUUACGAUCGAGGUAUCACUAGUUGAGGAUCCAUGAGGAAGACAUUCCAAGGACGGUGUUCAAGACACGUUAUAUGGGCAUUAUGAGUUCUUGGUAAUGUCAUUUGGACUCACUAAUGCUCUUGUAGCCUUCAAAGGUCUGAUGAAUCCGGUGUUCAAGAUAUUCCUGGAUCGCUUUAUCAUUGUAUUCAUUGAUGAUAUCUUGGUGUACUCCAGAAGCAAAGAGGAGCAUGCGUGGCAUCUAAGAAUAGUACUUCAAAUGUUGAGGGAGCAUCGGUUGUACGCUAAGUUCUCCAAGUGUGAGUUUUGAUUAGAAAGCAUUGCUUUUCUAGGUCACGUGUCUAGAGAGGGUAUUCAAGUGGACCCCAAGAAAGUGGAGGUGGAGACUAACUAGCAGAAAUCAACCACGGUGACAGAGGUUUAUAGCUUUCUGGGUUUGGCAAGCUACUAUCAUCAAUUCAUGCACGACUUCUCGAGGAUCGCAUGGCCUUUGACUAACCUGACUCAGAAGAACAUCAGAUUCUAGUGGACUAACACCUAUGAAAGAAGUUUUAAGAGGCUGAAAGAUUGUUUAGCUCUAGUGUUGACCUUACCCUCUAGGACUGGUGGAUUCACGGUGUAUAGCAAUUAAAAAGGCAUGAACAGAAUUACCCUACUCAUGAUUUAGAGAUGGCAGCAGUAAUCUUUGCCCUAAAAACCUCGAGGCACUAUCUUUAUGGGGAAAUGUGCGAGAUAUAUACAGACCAUAAGAGUUUGAAGUAUAUUUUUCAGCAGAAAGAAUUGAAUUUGAGGCAAGGAGAUGGUUGGAACUUUUAAAAGAUUAUGAUUGUAAUAUUCUCUACCAUCUAGGUAAAGCGGAUGUCGUGGCAGAUGCCUUGAGUAGGAAAUCAGCAGGCAGUGUUGCUCAUAUCAGUGCGGAGAAAAGAUCUCUGACCAAAGAGUUGCACGAAUUGUGCAACUAAGGGUUGUAGAUGGAUGAUAGGCUAUUGUGUAGCUAUAAUCUAAGGCAGUGAACUUAUCGAUGCAGACUAGCACUAACGGUGAGUAUCAAGGUCGUAUUAUCGGGUAA
Long non-coding RNA from Ricinus communis (castor bean), 3635 nucleotides. RefSeq lists it as uncharacterized. The transcript has 2 exons. The record is from RefSeq and is a predicted model, not a curated record. NCBI's taxonomy places the organism in Eukaryota, Viridiplantae, Streptophyta, Magnoliopsida, Malpighiales, Euphorbiaceae.